GGGAAUCUACCCAGAUCUACGGAACAACAGAGGGAAACUUCUGCUAAUACCGUAUACGCCCUAUGGGGGAAAGAUUUAUCGGAUUUGGAUGAGCCCGCGUAAGAUUAGCUAGUUGGUGAGGUAAUGGCUCACCAAGGCGACGAUCUUUAGCUGGUCUGAGAGGAUGAUCAGCCACACUGGGACUGAGACACGGCCCAGACUCCUACGGGAGGCAGCAGUGGGGAAUAUUGGACAAUGGGCGCAAGCCUGAUCCAGCCAUGCCGCGUGAGUGAUGAAGGCCUUAGGGUUGUAAAGCUCUUUCAGUGGGGAAGAUAAUGACGGUACCCACAGAAGAAGCCCCGGCUAACUUCGUGCCAGCAGCCGCGGUAAUACGAAGGGGGCUAGCGUUGUUCGGAUUUACUGGGCGUAAAGCGCACGUAGGCGGUUUGUUAAGUCAGAGGUGAAAUCCUGGAGCUCAACUCCAGAACUGCCUUUGAUACUGGCAAGCUCGAGUCCGGAAGAGGUAAGUGGAACUCCUAGU
This 520-nucleotide ribosomal RNA is filed under the name uncultured bacterium. RNAcentral describes it as "bacterial SSU rRNA". It matches the Rfam family "Bacterial small subunit ribosomal RNA", at positions 120 to 674 of the family's 1533-position model. The record is from RNAcentral.